AAACAAUUGUCCUGAAGCCAAACCCAGUUGACGAACCCUGUUUUAUAGUAUUCCAUGGCCUUUACUGGCCAACUGCUGUUAUGUUUAUGAUAUACUAUGGUGUUGUGUCACUAGACUUUGACCAGAUAUUAUUACAUCCAAAGAUCAACUGAACCUAGAACAUAGAUACAGAGACACUUGUCAUCAGGAAGGUGCUCUCUCAGCACAACGGACAAUAUCUCAAUGACUUGACAUGUUCUGGUUGUGAAUUCAGGCUACAAGGUACGUGACAUUUCAAUCUUACAAAAUGGUGCUAACUGGGCGUAGGGGUUUGUGCUCUAAAAUGAGUCUCUCUGGGGAGAAAGAGGAGGAGGGCCCUGCCUCUAAAAGGAUUGUCUUUGGGGAACAUGGCACCAAAUCUAAGAGGUGAGAGGACAAUUUUCUAAAGAUUUUAUGAAGAGUUUAUAUCCAAAACACUAUAUCCACCAUUUUUUCACAUUUGUGUUUUUUCAUCAGAAAUAAAGGCUUAUGGGUGUGUAAAAUAUUAUUGUUCUAAGAUUUUUAAUUCAUAGAUGUUAGCGUAUGACAUUUUACUGAGAACAUCACAGCAAGAUGAAACAAAUAUUGUUGCAUUCCCUAGAUUCUCCCAUUUUAUUUGCACCAUAAAGCACCACAGUGGAGGUGAAAUAAUAAUACCCAUAACACCUAGCGGUCAAACAGGGAAAUGGUUUCAAUAGUUUUAAAGAGCCCCACAAUGGAGGUGUCAUAAUACCCAUAACACCUAGAGGUCAAACAGGGAAAUGGUUUCAAUAGUUUUUCUGAGAAAAAACAUGAGCUUGCGCACACCCAGACUUUUUUUAUGUGGAGGUUCUGAUAAAAAAGAAAUAGAGUCACACACUCCAUAUAUAAACUCCCAGUAAUUUAUUGGGUAAAUCAACAACAUUUCAGCAUCACUGUGUUUACUCCAGGUUUGUGGUGGCAGGGUAACCUAGUGGUUAGAGCAUUGGACUACUAACCGAAAGGUUGCAAGUUCAUAUCCCCGAGCUGACAAGGUACUAGUCUGUCAUUCUGCCCCUGAACAGGCAGUUCCUAGGCUGUCAUUAAAAAUAAGAAUUUGUUCUUAACUUACUUGCCUAGUUAAAUAAAGGUUAAAAAAUAAAAGGUUAAUUCAUGUCAUGAAUACUUGAACCAGGUUAUGUAGACGAUUAGUGUAACCAAUAGUGAGGGGUGUGUCAAAAUUAUUAUGUUAAUAAGAAUGAAUUAGUGAAACUGUUAAAAAACAAAAGUUUAUGGCAUGUUGAAUAUGCUAUUGUUAUCAUAUGGGAACAUCAUUGAAUAUUGUACAUAACAUUAGCAUCAAUAUACAUUAUUGUUUAAUUCAAUUUCACAUAUUUAAUUGUUUCCUAUUUCAAUUCAUUUUUUUGUUACAUGUAAUGUUUUGGUUCAAACAUAAUGCAUAAUAAGCAUCAUCAACAGGGGGAACAUAUUGGAUGUAUACUAAUAAGCUGUAGAAAGAAUAAAUCCAUUUAAAAGAGAGAAUUGUUCAUAAGAAGGGCUUGAGAUCAAAGUCAAUAUUCAGACCACUAGGGGUCAAUGUUUUUAGGAUAUCCAGUAAGCCUCCCCUUGUAGUAGUACGAUCUCCAUGUUAACUCCUCUCCUUGGUAGAGCAACAUGCUCAAUGCCUGUGUAUUGGAGGUAUGAGAUUGGAAGGUUAGCUUCAACAAAGUGAGCUGCUAUUGGAUAGUCAAUGUUCUUACACCUGAUUGAGCUGCGGUGUUCAGCUAUGUGUUGUUUAAUUGUCUUUUCUUUUGUCCUACAUAGGCUUUCCCACAUGAACAGGUGAUGAGAUAAAUUAUUUGCUUGGUCUUACAUGAGAUGAUCCCCUAACAGGGAUGUUUCUACCUGUAUGUGUGUGUCUGAAGUAGGAUGUUUUUAUAGUUCUAUUUGCACUGAGCCAUGUUUGUAGUUCCCAUUUGGAAUGGGUGUCAAGAGUGUCUGAGUGGCCCAGGGGGCAGGUCAGAUCUCACCAAGAUAUCUCCAAGAGUGUCUGAGUGGGCUCAGGGGGCAGGUCAGAUCUCACCAAGCUAUCUCUAAGAGUGUCUGAGUAUGCUCAGGGGUCAGGUCAGAUCUCACCAAGAUAUCUCCAAGAGUGUCUGAGUGGGCUCAGGGGGCAGGUCAGAUCUCACCAAGAUAUCUCCAAGAGUGUCUGAGUGGGCUCAGGGGGCAGGUCAGAUCUCACCAAGCUAUCUCUAAGAGUGUCUGAGUAUGCUCAGGGGUCAGGUCAGAUCUCACCAAGCUAUCUCUAAGAGUGUCUGAGUGGGCUCAGGGGUCAGGUCAGAUCUCACCAAGAUAUCUCCAAGAGUGUCUGAGUGGGCUCAGGGGGCAGGUCAGAUCUCACCAAGCUAUCUCUAAGAGUGUCUGAGUGGGCUCAGGGGUCAGGUCAGAUCUCACCAAACUAUCUCAAAUAUUGCGACCACACUUAUAGACCACCAGUGGGGGUUCCUUUUUUUUGUUUGCAAUUUUUUUGUUUGUCUGAUUGCAGAAUAUUCCAGUGCUUUUUCAGGAUUGCUUUCAUUUUCUCUGAAUACUUGGUGUACUUGGUGCAAAAGAUGGUUGUUUUUCUUCUUUGGUAGAUUGUUUUGCAAUUCCUCUCUUGGUUUUUGAGAUGUUUUCAUCAUUGCAGCAUCGAGUUGUGUCCUUGUAGCCUCUCAUUUUGAAAUUAUCUGUCUUUUUAAAAAAUUCUGUCAAAAUCCAAUAGUUUUUCCAUCAUACAUUUUUCCUAUAGAGAAUUGUAGAAACACUUCAAAUGUUUUGUGUAUGUUGGGGUGGUGCAGCGGUUCUUGUGGGCACAUUUUGUCAUCAAAGUCUGUCAUUCUCUGGAUUUAUGGUGCUUUCAAGGAAACUGGGAAGUUUGAAUUAUGAUGUUAGUGAUUUUCAGGACGGAGCUCUAGAAAGAGGCCCAAGUUCCCGACUUGUAUUUUCAAGUCGGAUGACUGCUCAAACUGUAUUUUCUCAGUAGGAGCAUGGUUUUUUUCUGGGUUUCCAGUUGUCCUGAAAUCACUGAAGUCUGAUAUUUCCCAGUUUCAGUUGUUUUGAAUGCAGCAGAAGUUAUGCUGGAUUCACAGCAUGGCCAAUGUAUUCAACCUUUUCUGCCCCAUGGUGUUACAGGUGAAUGUUUAUCCUUUUAAGCUUGGAAAAGAGACCAUUAAAUGCAGAUUUGGACCACACAUCCUCUCCACUGAAUUGCUGGCUAGUGGAUGUUUUGCAAUGCUUGCAGUUAGCCACAGAUUCCUUCCAAACCACUCAUUCCAAACCACUCAUUGCUAGCUAAGAUGUUGAUCGUAUGAUGUUGACAUGAUCAGUCCAAUCAAAGCUACUGUAGACAAAACGUGAGUUGACGUCAUUUUAUCUGUGGCCAAUGACCUUGAGCCUUUUGAAUGGGCACUUCUAAUGUAACUCUAGGGCAGCACCCAAUCGGCUUGAAUUUUUAAGCUCUCCCUGUAGAUUUUGUGGUGAUGUAGUGUCUCCAUGAGUGACAGAACACUGAGCCAAUCAAGGCGCAACUACAGAACAUUACCAACUACGCUCAGUAUUUCCUGCUGGCUGCCCCACCACCGCAGAAAGCACUGAGCUAGGCUGAAACAGCUGCAUUUUGGAGCUGCCUUACUCAAUAAAUCAAAAAAGAGACCAUAUUUGUAUGUGGCUUAUUAACUCAAUUAUUUUUUUCUUACAUUAUUUGCAAACUGAUAUAUGACAGGUAUUAAUGCCAAAAUAACAUGCUAAACAGGUGGGGCUCUGUACCUGAAUCUGUACCUGAAUAACAGGUGGGGCUCUGUACCUGAAUAACAGGUGGGUCUCUGUACCUGAAUAACAGGUGGGUCUCUGUACAUGAAUAACAGGUGGGGCUCUGUACCUGAAUAACUCACCUUCUGAACAUUCUAUUCCCAGCCCAAUGUUCUGCAUCACAAUGCCAGCUUUGCUAUUGUUAUUAAUGAGACCUACCUGUGUUAACAUUGUGGGUUUUACCUAAAUUAUUUGUAUUAUUACUAUUGCUACAGCUACUUGGUGAGCAAACUUUUGGUGACCCACAGUGCUAGUGAUGGCUGACACACACCGAUCAAAUGUUAAACAUUUUCUGGUCAUUUAAAAAAAUAUAUAUAUUUCACCUUUAUUUAACCAGGUAGGCUAGUUGAGAACAAGUUCUCAUUUGCAACUGCGACCUGGCCAAGAUAAAGCAUAGCAAUUCAACACAUACAACAACACAGAGUUACACAUGGAAUAAACAAAACAUAGUCAAUAAUACAGUAGUACAUAAGAAAACAAAAAGUACAGUAUAUAUACAGUGAGUGCAGAUGAGGUAGGCUAAGUCAAUAAAUAGGCCAUGGUGGCGAAGUAAACACAAUAUAGCAAUUAAAACACUGGAAUGGUAGAUGUGCAGAAGAUGAAUGUUUCAAGUAGAGAUACUGGGGUGCAAAGGAGCAAGAUAAAUAAAUAAAUACAGUAUGGGGAUGAGGUAGAUAGAUGGGAUGUUUACAGAUGGGCUAUGUACAGUUGCAGUGAUCUGUGAGCUGCUCUGACAGCUGGUGCUUAAAGCUAGUGAGGGAGAUAUGAGUCUCCAGCUUCAGAGAUGUUUGCAGUUCGUUCCAGUCAUUGGCAGCAGAGAACUGGAAGGGAAGACGACCAAAGGAGGAAUUGGCUUUGGGUGUGACCAGUGAGAUAUACCUGCUGGAGCGCGUGCUGCGGGUGGGUGCUGCUAUGGUGACCAGUGAGCUGAGAUAAGGUGGGGCUUUACCUAGCAGAGACUUGUAGAUAACCUGUAGCCAGUGGGUUUGGCGACAAGUAUGAAGCGAGUGCCAACCAACGAGAGCGUACAGGUCGCAAUAGUGGGUAGAGUAUGGGGCUUUGGUGACCAAACGGAUGGCACUGUGAUAGAUUGCAUCCAGUUGGUUGAGUAGAGUGUUGGAGGCAAUUUUAUAGAUGACAUCACCGAAGUCGAGGAUUGGUAGGAUAGUCAGUUUUACGAGGGUAUGUUUGGCAGCAUGAGUGAGGGAUGCUUUGUUGCGAAAUAGGAAGCCAAUUCUACAUUUAAUUUUGGAUUGGAGAUGCUUAAUGUGAGUCUGGAAGGAGAGUUUACAGUCUAGCCAGACACCUAUGUAUUUGUAGUUGUCCACGUAUUCUAAGUCAGAGCCGUCCAGAGUAGCGAUGCUGGACGGGCGAGCAGGUGCGGGCAGCGAUCGGUUGAAGAGCAUGCAUUUAGUUUUAUUUGCGUUUAAGAGCAGUUAGAGGCCACGGAAGGAGAGUUGUAUUGCAUUGAAGCUCGUCUGGAGGUUAGUUAACACAGUGUCCAAAGAGGGGCCAGAAGUAUACAGAAUGGUGUCGUCUGCGUAGAGGUGGAUCAGAGAGUCACCAGCAGCAAGAGCAACAUCAUUGAUGUAUACAGAGAAGAGAGUCAGCCCGAGGCGUGAACCCUGUGGCACCCGCAUAGAGACUGCCAGAGGUCCGGACCACAGGCCCUCCGAUUUGACACACUGAACUCUAUCAGAGAAGUAGUUGGUAAACCAGGCGAGGCAAUAAUUUGAGAAACCAAGGCUGUCGAGUCUGCCAAUAAGAAUGUGGUGAUUGACAGAGUUGAAAGCCUUGGCCAAGUCGAUGAAAACGGCUGCAUAGUAAUGUCUCUUAUCGAUGGCGGUUAUGAUGCCGUUUAGGACCUUGAGCGUGGCUGAGGUGCACCCAUGACCAGCUCAGAAACCAGAUUGCAUAGCGGAGAAGGUACGGUGGGAUUUGAAAUGGUCGGUAAUCUGUUUGUUAAUUUGGCUUUCGAAGACCUUAGAAAGGCAGGGUAAAAUAGAUAUAUGGUCAUGGUUAACCAUAUUUGUUUUCAGAAAAAGGUAUACAACCUAAGUGAAACACAUGUCCCUGUCCUCUUUUUCAAGGUGUGGCUGAAUAUAUAUUAUAUAUAUACUUUAAUAUUAAGAAAUAACACUUUUUUUGAUGGCUUGUUGUUUCUAAAUGGCUGCUGGGUAAGUUGAUAUGCAUCGAAUUCUUCGUUUGUAGGCAUUGCAUUGAGCGAAUGCUGCGCAGGUUCACUGAGUUGCAAACCAAAUGGACAGGUCUAGCUCAUUGAUUUGUAGAUCUGACGCAAUUUCUACAUCAGAUUAUGAGCCAAGCAAGUGUCGCAAUGAGUUAUGUAGUACCCACAGAAGGCCACAGGAGGGGCAAGAGAGCUAUACAACCAUACUGAUUUUUGCCUUAAAAACCCAAAACCUAACAUCCAAUAAAAUGUAUUUAUAACGCCCUUUUUACAUCAGCAGAUGUAAAUUAAUUUACAUGAAUUUACCCUGAUUUCUAGUGAUGGGUAGCGUAGAACACUUUUAGAAACUAUUUUAGUAAUAACAUUAUGUUAGUAAAUACAAAUAUAGUACUAACUAGCAUUUGUAUUAUUCUGUUAAUCAAAACCUGUCUAAGCAUUUAG
This is a long non-coding RNA of Oncorhynchus tshawytscha (Chinook salmon), 6451 nucleotides long. The record is from Ensembl. NCBI's taxonomy places the organism in Eukaryota, Metazoa, Chordata, Actinopteri, Salmoniformes, Salmonidae.